UACAGAGGGUGCGAGCGUUAAUCGGAAUUACUGGGCGUAAAGCGUGCGUAGACGGUUAUUUAAGUCGGGUGUGAAAGCCCCGGGCUCAACCUGGGAAUUGCAUUCGAGACUGAAUAGCUAGGGUACGGUAGAGGGAAGUGGAAUUUCCGGUGUAGCGGUGAAAUGCGUAGAUAUCGGGAGGAACACCAGUGGCGAAGGCGGCUUCCUGGACCAGAGCUGACACUGAGGCGCGAAAGCGUGGGGAGCGAACAGG
Molecule: ribosomal RNA, 253 nt
Filed under: uncultured bacterium
Lineage: Bacteria
Description: partial 16S ribosomal RNA
Rfam family: Bacterial small subunit ribosomal RNA
Source: RNAcentral